This 492-nucleotide ribosomal RNA is filed under the name uncultured bacterium. Its description in RNAcentral is "partial 16S ribosomal RNA". It matches the Rfam family "Bacterial small subunit ribosomal RNA", at positions 29 to 507 of the family's 1533-position model. The record is from RNAcentral.
AGUGAACGCUGGCGGUAGGCCUAACACAUGCAAGUCGAACGGCAGCACAGUAAGAGCUUGCUCUUACGGGUGGCGAGUGGCGGACGGGUGAGGAAUACAUCGGAAUCUACUUUUUCGUGGGGGAUAACGUAGGGAAACUUACGCUAAUACCGCAUACGACCUACGGGUGAAAGCAGGGGAUCUUCGGACCUUGCGCGAUUGAAUGAGCCGAUGUCGGAUUAGCUAGUUGGCGGGGUAAAGGCCCACCAAGGCGACGAUCCGUAGCUGGUCUGAGAGGAUGAGAGGCAACACGUGAAUUGAGACGAGGCCCAGACGCCUACGGGAGGCAGCAGGGUGGAAGUUGGGACAAUGGGCGCAAGCCUGAUCCAGCAAUGCCGCGGGCAGGAAGAAGGCCUUCGGGUUGUAAACUGCUUUUGUACGGAACGAAACGGCUCUGGUUAAUACCCGGGGCUAAUGACGGUACCGUAAGAAUAAGCACCGGCUAACUACGUG